UACGAAGGGUGCAAGCGUUACUCGGAAUUACUGGGCGUAAAGCGUGCGUAGGCGGUUUGUUAAGUCUGUCGUGAAAGCCCCGGGCUCAACCUGGGAAUGGCGAUGGAAACUGGCGAGCUAGAGUACGGUAGAGGAGAGUGGAAUUCCCGGUGUAGCAGUGAAAUGCGUAGAGAUCGGGAGGAACACCAGUGGCGAAGGCGAGUCCCUGGACAACGACUGACACUGAGGCACGAAAGCUAGGGGAGCAAACAGG
Molecule: ribosomal RNA, 253 nt
Filed under: uncultured bacterium
Lineage: Bacteria
Description: partial 16S ribosomal RNA
Rfam family: Bacterial small subunit ribosomal RNA
Source: RNAcentral